AUACCAUGAUGAGGGCAUCUCCUUAACAACUCCUUAAUUUCUCAAGCCUCAUACAAACUUUCAUCUUCAAUUUGAUGAAAAGAGGUGAGUUCAUUCCGUAAUUUU
Molecule: non-coding RNA, 105 nt
Organism: Citrus sinensis (sweet orange)
Lineage: Eukaryota; Viridiplantae; Streptophyta; Magnoliopsida; Sapindales; Rutaceae
Source: Rfam